Long non-coding RNA from Heterocephalus glaber (naked mole-rat), 784 nucleotides. Lineage: Eukaryota; Metazoa; Chordata; Mammalia; Rodentia; Bathyergidae. The record is from Ensembl.
GACCAGAGUUCGAUCCCUGGUACCAAAAAAAAAAAAGUUAAGGGUUGGGCUCACCUUCCAAUAUAGACUAGGCUCCAAAAAUAGCUUCUACUGAUACUCAUUUUUAGGGGAAAAGAAAGAAGAUGUAACAGGUGAGCCUCUCUUAUAUGGCAGGUUAUUUGUGUCACUUUCAUUUCUCACACCCUAUAGGUAGGCCUUAUUCUUUUUUACUUCUCAGUGGGAAUUAAAGAAGCUGGUAUUUUGCCCCGGGGGGACAAAACUGGAAUUUGAACUCAGAGUCUCAAGAGUUGAAAGUUUGAUAUAGCAUCUUUUACCUGCUUCUCUUAAAAAUAAUCAUCUAACACUGAAAUAUAAACUUCGUCUCCAAAACUGGUUUUGAUACUGAUUUCCAGUCUAGAUAGAACUGAAACUAGUACUUACUUUUUUCACCUAAACUAACUUGAAAACCAGACUCUCAGCAGUUUUUAGACACCAGUCACUGAGCAGUGCAGGGCAGUGAUCCCUGAAACAAGGGGCACAAAUGAGCUGAAUCCUACUAUUGCUCCAGCCAGUGCCAGGAGAGAGCUUCCAAAUGGCAGCUCGAGGAGUAAGAGUAUGACAAUAAAAAUAAGAAGAGUGGGAAAUUGAAACUGCCAAAGAUAAGAAAUUCAGAUGCUGUACAAGAAAUGGCUGUCAGCGUAGUUGAAGGGAAAGUCAAGGUGGCCUCCUGCAACGAGUGUGCUCAGAUGAGUUGCACCAGGUGAGCUGCUGGGACCAGCUGGCCACAGAGCCAUCUCAACACUGG